GAAAGACCCCUUAUCCAAAACACCCCAGAUCCUGUGCAUUCUGCAUAACAGGUCUCAUACCUCACAAACUAUGAACAAGUGUAUUGUGAUGUAAAUCCUAGGUGCAUUCAUAUCAUACAUUCCCAAGACUGAACCAUCGUCUCUAGGCAUAGAACCAUAGUGAUUCAGCAGAACACUGUGGCACAGCUACAUAUGUGAAUCCAAACAAAUGUAUUGUGGACUCGCACACCCUACUUGAAAGCAGGUAUAGAUAAGCCUGGUGCACAAGGGUGGAGGUUCGGCCACCUCCCAAUGCAAGUCUAUAGAAAAAACCCAAUGGCACCCAGGUCUGCGUGAACUCUUCUAGUACUCUAUUUAUUAUAAUACACACGUUUCAGCGAGUCAUGUGGCAGAAAUGACAUCAGAACUCACCGUUUAUAACUGAAGCUUGAGCAGCCUGUAGCCCUUCAGAUGUACAAGUCACGGCAAUCCCUGAUAGGCCUUCAAGUGCUGUUGGGUACUGAGUCGAUUUCAUUAACAGUUAAAGGGUUCCAUGUGGGUAAAAUGUGGUACAGCUCUGUGAGCCCCAGACCAAUAACCCAUAAUCCUUAAGGACCCUUGAGUCACAGCCCUGACAUGCCAGUCCAACCCUGUGCUUAUAAAAGUGCCCUGUUGCCAUCCUGUCCUGCUAUUAUAUCAUGCCAUGCUCCCCCAUGGUUGGACUGGGCUGGCAGGACCCAAGGAAGAAACCCAGUGAGCCCCGGCCCUUUUGGACCCACUGAGCCAGACCAGCCUGGAACCAUAGACCCUUUCCUCUGGACUUCCCCUCCCAAUCACAGCUGCAACACAACAGGUCAACAAAUCAAUGGUACAUAUAUUCCUCUGCACUUAGGCUCUUCCUGUAACACAACAGAAUGCCCAUGAUGUCAUCAGUAGCCAAUGGGAGACAGUGAGCCCUAACCCAUCAGUGAUGACAUCCAUUACGGGAACAGAAUGUACAGCAAGUAAAGUCAUCUGUGGAAUCCCUUUUUCCACUAUCAAAUGAAAAGGCCGAUCUAUACAUACUUUGGGGACUAGUGAAAGAAUAUUUCAUUGGACAACAUAUGUCAGAAGUUGUGUAACCUGCAUGGCCAUCCCUUUCAAGCUUACUAGCACCCAUCCCCUAACAGGAGCCUAUCAAUGGGGCAAAUGUUUUAAAAGACUCAUACUUAAAAAAGUAUGUAAAAUGAGGUUUCAAAACCACAAAAAAUCUCCACUUUAACUCAAUGAAACACAGCGCAAAAUGGCAAGUAUUUAUCAAGCUACUAAGUAGCUUAAUGCAAAAUAAUGGGUGCUAAACGUUGACACUAUCCCAGGAAGAGCACAGCUACUUGUUGGAAAGAAUGCAGGAGAAUUGUAGACCCAGGUACAGCGAGUUUAACCUCAGAAAGUUAAUAGUAAUGUGCCAGACUUACUUAUACAGCUAUCUGUGACAAUUUUAUUGCCGUCAUCGCAUUCCUCUCCUGGCUGGAUAAUUCCAUCUCCACAAGUAUUGCCAUAAUCGAUGCCACUUCGGAAAGGAGUGAGCUGCGAUUAAUAAGAAUCAUUUGUAUAUGAUUUUCUUUCUGUUAAUGAUGAUUAAUUGAUGACGUGUGCAAUGCAUGGAAAUGUAGUAGUCUUACAAAAGAAAGAAGAAAAGCACAUUAAAAAAUACUGCCUGUUAAACUAGGGUGUGAACUAAGUGUGAGCCAUAUUUGUGGCCUAGAAUCAGGACUACAUGAGAGGCCCCCAGUCUUUGUCUGUUAAUGGCCGGCAGCUCAAUCAAAGCUGGAGAGACACACACAGGGCAACCUUGAUGUAGGUACAGGUAUGGAAUCUUUUACCCAGAAUGCUUGGAUCCUGGUAUUUUUUUAAUAAGUUGUUUUAAAGAAUCAGCAUCAGACUGGCCUGCUAGAGUAGAGAAUCAAAGUAGGGUCACCAAUGUAGGAAAAUCACCACUAACUUAUAUCUUCCCAUUUCCCCCAUGGGCCUAUACAAGAUCAAUAGCCAUACCUCCCAACAUUUGAGACCAUGCCCACUUUGUGACCUCACCCCUAUAUACCACACCCAUUUUACACAACCCAGUAGUAAUCACUAAAUGUAAUGGAUAUAGGACAAACUCACCCAGACGUACCAGUAUAAUCACUAAAUAAUACGGCUUAUCAGCAUAUUAACUCCCAGACGUGCAGUAUAUUAACUAUAUAAAAUUGAUACAAGGCAUAUUAACCCCAGAUGUGCCAGUUUAACAACAUCAAAUGGAUAUUAACCCCAGAUGUGCUAGUAUUUUCUUUUUUACAGAAAAUGAAUAACAAGCAUAUUAACGCCAUACAUGUCAGUGUAGAAAUAACUAAUGAGCACUCAAUUAACCACAGACAAGUGAGUAAGAUCUUUACAAAAAUGGCCAAUGAGUACUCCAUUAAUUCCAGACAUGUUAGUAAAAUAAAUGCAGAAACAGACAGAUUGAAAGCAUUCCCUCACCUACACUUGCACAAGCAGAAUGCAAACACCAAAGUAUUUCAAGUUCCACUUUGCUUGACUUUUUCCUCUCUCUCUCUCUCUCUCUCUUUCUCUCUCUGUUUUCUGCAUUUGAAGAAAAAAAUCCAAGCUGGCCAUGUGUUCCACAGUGGAAUGCAUAGCCAUCUUGAUAUUUUUCUUCAGGUGCAUGAAAGAGCUCCAGAGAGCUGGCCAGGAAGAAUAGAAGAGGAUCCAAGCAACAAGGGACAUUAACAUUACAAUCUGGGACAGUGGCAUAUGAGCUCAAAAUCGGGACUGUCCUGCAAAGAGCGGGACAGUCUGGGGUAUUAUAGCAUAUAGUACUUAUACUUCUAGAGGGCUCAUUUAUGAAGUCAGUGCACAGUUCUAGGUACACUUUUUGGAUAGGUACAUUUUUUGGACAAAAAACUGUUUUUUUACCCACAAUUCAGAGUAUUUACAUAGAAUACCAGCAAUAUUGCAUUGUACGGCAACUACAUUUGCUAAAAUUUUCUUUGUAUUGCAAGUUCACUCGGCAGCUUAAUUCAACUUGUUUCUUUAAUCCAAAA
Molecule: long non-coding RNA, 3038 nt
Organism: Xenopus laevis (African clawed frog)
Lineage: Eukaryota; Metazoa; Chordata; Amphibia; Anura; Pipidae
Exons: 3
Source: RefSeq, a predicted model, not a curated record